Molecule: ribosomal RNA, 484 nt
Filed under: uncultured bacterium
Lineage: Bacteria
Description: partial 16S ribosomal RNA
Rfam family: Bacterial small subunit ribosomal RNA
Source: RNAcentral
AUUGAACGCUGGCGGCAUGCUUUACACAUGCAAGUCGAACGGCAGCGCGGGCUUCGGCCUGGCGGCGAGUGGCGAACGGGUGAGUAAUACAUCGGAACGUGCCCAGUAGUGGGGGAUAGCUCGGCGAAAGCCGGAUUAAUACCGCAUACGACCUGAGGGUGAAAGCGGGGGAUCUUCGGACCUCGCGCUAUUGGAGCGGCCGAUGGCAGAUUAGCUAGUUGGUGGGGUAAAGGCCUACCAAGGCGACGAUCUGUAGCUGGUCUGAGAGGACGACCAGCCACACUGGGACUGAGACACGGCCCAGACUCCUACGGGAGGCACCAGUGGGGAAUUUUGGACAAUGGGCGAAAGCCUGAUCCAGCAAUGCCGCGUGUGUGAUGAAGGCCUUCGGGUUGUAAAGCACUUUUGGCGGGAACGAAAAGGACUGUGCCAAUACCACGGUUCGAUGACGGUACCCGCAGAAUAAGCACCGGCUAACUACGUG